UACGUAGGGAGCAAGCGUUGUCCGGAUUUAUUGGGCGUAAAGAGCUCGUAGGCGGUUAAGUAAGUCAGGUGUGAAACCUCCAGGCUCAACCUGGAGACGCCACUUGAUACUGCUUUGACUUGAGUUUGGUAGGGGUAAGCGGAAUCCCUGGUGUAGCGGUGAAAUGCGCAGAUAUCAGGAGGAACACCGACGGCGAAGGCAGCUUACUGGGCCAAAACUGACGCUGAGGAGCGAAAGCGUGGGGAGCGAACAGG
RNAcentral lists this ribosomal RNA (254 nucleotides) under uncultured bacterium. Its description in RNAcentral is "partial 16S ribosomal RNA". It matches the Rfam family "Bacterial small subunit ribosomal RNA", at positions 524 to 776 of the family's 1533-position model. The record is from RNAcentral.